RNAcentral lists this long non-coding RNA (3876 nucleotides) under Panax ginseng (ginseng). RNAcentral describes it as "long non-coding RNA (PGIN_LNC009726)". Lineage: Eukaryota; Viridiplantae; Streptophyta; Magnoliopsida; Apiales; Araliaceae. The record is from RNAcentral.
UAUAUAUAUAUAUAGCAAAGUUCAAAAACAUAAGACUUAAACAACAUAAGUUCUUAAAGAGUAUAACUAUUUAAACCUUUCCUGUUUUUUCUAAAAACCCAAAACCUUCCGUGUUUUUUUAGAAAAUCCAAAAUUGUGCCCUAUCUUCUCUCUUCUCUCAUAACUUCUCUAUUCUCAACAAAUCGAAAUCGCGUCUACACUGAGAAGGAAAAAGCAGAGCCAUCUUGUUUAAAUCGAAAUUGUGCCCUAGCUGCUCUCUUCUCUCCAAAUCGACCGCUUCACUCCAAAUCCUUGCUAGGUAAACCCAAAUCUCGUUGUGGAUGUGUUCAUGUAUGUGUAUAUAUGUAAUAGAUUCUUUUUCUUUUUCCUUCUAAUUUUUCUGUGAUGCCCUAUUGAGUAUAUGUUUGAAAGAUAUCCAAAAAGAGAUCCCCUGCCAUUGUUGUUCUUCACCCCUCUCGCUCUCUUCUUUCUAUCUCUCUUAAAAAACAGAAAUAUUACCAAACCCAGAGAGUUUAGAGGCUUAAAACGAGAGAAAAGAUCUUUAUUCAAUAUAUACUACUACUACUACUUAGUUAGUGCGGAGCUGUGAUCGUGUGGAUAAUAUAUAUAUAGAGGAGUCCAUAUAUUGCGGACUUCCAACUACCUCAAACUAGCCAAUUUGGUCAAUGAGUAUGAAUGGCUUAUCAACACAAUUAUAUAAAAUAUAUUUAUUAAUUGGAAAUUGAUGUAUUUGUUAAUUGGAAAAUUAAUGUAUUUUAUGACAAAAAUAUUACUCAUGGACUCAUUAAUAGAUUAUUCAUAUAUGUGUAUUUUUUUAUAUUUAAAUUAUAAACAUGUAAAAUUAGUUUAUCAUAUAAAUAAUAAUUAUAUAAUAUGUUACUAUAAUUUAAAUUUUUCGAAUUUACUUACAAUUAGAUAGAUAAUGUAAGAUGCUAGUUAUACAUAUCAUUAUAUGUGGAUGUGUUCAUGUAUGUGUAUCAUAUAAAUAAUAAUUAUAUAAUAUGUUACUAUAAUUUAAAAUUUUCGAAUUUACUUACAAUUAGAUAGAUAAUGUAAGAUGCUAGUUAUACAUAUCAUUAUAUGUGGAUGUGUUCAUGUAUGUGUAUGUAAUAGAUUUUUUUUCUUUUUCUUUCAAAUUUUUCUGUGAUGCCCUGUUAAGUAUAUGUUUGGAAGAUUAUAAAACUUGAAUAGUCUCUGGCUCUUCCUGAAUAGUCCAAAAGUUUUAGUUUCCAUCUUUGAUUUAGUUUUGAAUUACAUUAUGAUUUAUUUGAACAUUGAAUGUAUGUGGAAUAUUGGACCAGUACUACUAAAAUGGGAAAUGUCAGUGGAGUUAUGAAGAAAAUUUUCUUAAAGGGACCAUGGUUAUGGUAGUGGGUUUUGUACCUACAUCUAUAUAUUUGCACCAAGUGAUUAUCAUGAUGAUGGAGGUAUUCGUGUUCAUGCUUCUGAAUAUCUAAAGCAGUUCCCCUCUCUUAUUUUAUCUGUCAUUGCUAAUUAAGUUCAUAUCAUUUGUUUGUGGUGGAUUUGCUGCUAUUUUGAUCAUCAUAGCAUUUCUGGAGGAGUCCCUACUGGAAGGCCAUGUAAUGUAUUUCCUUUAAAAUGUCUUUGUUAGUUCCCGGAGGCACAAUAGUUAUCUAGAAAUGGGGGGAGGGUUGAAUAGAUAUUUAAAAAUCUUUUCGUUUUAACUUGUUAAUUGAUAAUGAUUAAAACUUAGCGGAAUUAAUAUUUGUUUUAAUCUCCCUUAAGAUGGUGAGUUUACGAGAGUGAGGCAGUUAUAGCAGUUAUGGCAGAUAUGACAGUUAUAGCAAAAAUGUAAUAGACACGGUCGUUUUAAGUGGUUCAGAGCACUUAAAGCUCCUAGUCCACUCUUCUACUCCUUGAGUAGGAAAUCCACUAAGGAUGUCUUUUACACUUUCUGAAUCACACAGAUUCCUUCUAGACCAACAGUCUAGGAACUUCUUAGUUCAUUUUUGAACUCUUCAAGUCCAGCAGACUUGGCUCUUCACAGUUCACUUAGAACUCUUCAAGUCCUUCUGACUUGGAACUCUUACUUCAGUUGAUUGGUAGUUGUUGAGUUCUUGAACCGCUACUCAGUUGCUGUUAAGCACUUGUUCGAAAGAACUAAGUAGCUGAGCAAGCUUUUCUUUUUUUCAGAUCGUAGAGUUGAGCGUUGAGAGUUCUUGUACGUUUUGUUCAAUGCUUGCUUGCCUCUUUCAUCCGCAUAUCUUUUGCAUAUAUGUGAUCUUGAAAUCUUUCCGUUUGAUCCAUCCAUUGAAGCAUUAAAUGCGUUUGACAUUUCUGUACUUUGAUAGAGACUUUUCUACACAUCUUCUGAAUUGCAUUCUGGCCCACUGACACAGCAGACUGCUUUCUCACCUAACACCUGAAAAGGUGUUUUUCUCUUACCAAUGGUACUUUCCUUAGCUUCUUCAAUACGCUUCUUUGUUGCAUACUAAGGAUGUCUUUUGUACCGUUGGAACUGGUGGGGACUUCAACGUUUGAAACCCAUUCUAUAUUUGUUGGAGAUAUAUCUUCAAACAAAAAGGUAGGGCUCGAUACUUCUGACACACGGCUGAUGAUACUCUACGAUCCAGAUCGUGGUGUCUUGUUAUUUUGGUGCUUGGUCUGAUUCCAUCAAACAAGAGCACUACGAUUUUUCUUAAUGACUUACACACUACGAUCUUCACUUGCUAACUUUGUAAGCUCUACGUUUCCGAGAGCACACUACGAUCUCUGAGUUGGCUCGGUAAACGUUGGUACCACUCUACGACUUCAAAAGAGGCCCUUAAGGCAGGCACACUACGAUCCUCGAAGCUCUACGUUCUGCCUUGGCUUCUGUAAUCUUGAUCAGCUUGAUACACUACGAUCUCUUCGAAGCCUAUCUAUUACAUCUCAAGAUCAACCUAACAGCUUUGAUCUCUUUAUUUAUACAUUUAUUUACAGAAUGAUACACAUUAAGAACUUAGAUCAACCUAACAAAUUUGAUCUAUCACUAAGUCCUUGUACAUAUAUUCCUUGAAGGACUUUACAAAUAAUCAUGAGCAUUUAUAUUUAAACAUCAAAUCAAAAUAUGCACUCUCCCAAUAAUCUGUCCCUAUUUGAUGUUGACAUAACCAAGAAGAUUUGUUGUCAUGAUUAUUAGUUUCUAGAUGCAAUUGCAGGAAAGUAAACAUGACUUAGUAUUUCAGUGAGCAGCUGAAAUUUCUAGAGAAUAAGCAUGAAUUUAUUGAUGUUCGAAGAAUUUUACAAUUUAGCUUUACAUCAAUAAGAAUUAAAACUUCACUUAUCUCUAUUUCCUUGAUCUUUUGCGAGGAGGAUUGGCAUACUCCUCAGCUCUUCUUUUCCUGCUUGCUUCAUUCCACCUGGCUAGAUCUUCCAGCUCACUAGGGCUUAGCCUAGGAUUUUGAUCAUGUCUAUUCAUGAAUGCAGGAUCUCCAGUUGGCAUUCGCUAAGGCCUGUGGUGGUGACAUUUUGUGAGUUAGUAGCUGGCCCUAUACUCCUUAUUGGCUGAGCUAUUAAAAUUUCUAGCUGAUCAAGUCGUUGAGUCUGAUGGCUGGAUCGUGGAGUCUGUUGGUGAAAUUUUGCAAAUUGAUGUGGAGGAGAUGAAGAGUUAUCAUGAAAAACACCAAAGUUGAUACAUUGUUCUUCAGAUUUUAUCUAAAAAGGUGUGUCGUGAAUUUUUUUUCUUUAUUUUGGAGAAUGAUAUUUGUUUAUCAUUUUUAUAAGUAUAUAUACAUGAAUGGUAUAUAUGUGAUGUACUAUAUCAUGUGUUGAUGAUAUUUGCAUGUGUGAGUAUUAUUUUACUUAUGAUCUUAAUUAUAUAAUAAAUUAAUUUGAUUAGUUUUAUUUGAUUUGAAAAUAAUUUGAUUGUUCAUG